GCAACUAGUUACGCGGGAAGCGAACGCGGACCAGUCGAAAAAGAACCGAAAAACGAAGCCGCCUUCGUUUUGUUUUCGAAGUCGGCAAAUAACCGCAAUUCCGUGGAGUUACAGUGAGCUCCACUCAGCUAGUUUUUACCGAGCCACGCCAUGCAAUAAGCACCGAAAUGGUAAGUUAAUCGUGAUAUUUUACUGUAGUUGCGCUCGUGGAAUGAAAGAGACAAGAAUUUACACAAACAAAAUGCAUUUGUUUUCCUCGUUUGCUUUAUGCGUUGAUUUUGUUCACUUCUGUACAAGAUCUAAUCGCUGGAAGAGUCUUUUGUGUGAACAUUUGUUAAAAAAGUGAGAAAAGAAAUGAAUAAAUUAACAAAAUAAAUCAAAUUAAUAUAAACAGAUCAAUUGAAAGCAGUGGUCCAAAUUUUAGCGGAUCAAACUGUUUUAAUAAAGCAGCUGGUAAGGGGGAAUUGAAUCCCAUUCGGGGACAGUUCCCAAUAAAAAGUGAGGAAGAGCUUAUAGAACUGGAAGAAAAAAAUAAAAUUAAAUAGGGACAUUUAUAUAACAGAAAUGAAAUCAAUUCUCCAGCCAGCUGGCGUUUUGAGCGGCUUGAACUUUAUUUUGAGUGAGGACAUUGUUCUGGCAUAUAACGUCGAUGGGGUCCAAGGGAAGAAGGCCCUUAGGACCCACAAAGAAUUUUUUGCAGCUUUGCUAGAAUGUAUUCCGCCUGGCGAUGAGCCCCCCGAAAACACUGUACGGAAGGCAAUGCAAAGG
Long non-coding RNA from Drosophila miranda, 768 nucleotides. RefSeq lists it as uncharacterized. The record is from RefSeq and is a predicted model, not a curated record. Lineage: Eukaryota; Metazoa; Arthropoda; Insecta; Diptera; Drosophilidae. The transcript has 5 exons.